GACAUGCAGAGAACUUCCAGAGAUGGAAUUGGUGCCUUCGGGAACUCUGACACAGGUGCUGCAUGGCUGUCGUCAGCUCGUGUCGUGAGAUGUUGGGUUAAGUCCCGUAACGAGCGCAACCCUUGUCCUUAGUUACCAGCACGUUAUGGUGGGCACUCUAAGGAGACUGCCGGUGACAAACCGGGAGGAAGGUGGGGAUGACGUCAAGUCAUCAUCGGCCCUUACGGCCUGGGCUACACACGUGCUACAAUGGUCGGUACAAAGGGUUGCCAAGCCGCGAGGUGGAGCUAACUACCCAUAAAACCGAUCGUAGUCCGGAUCGCAGUCUGCAACUCGACUGCGUGAAGUCGGAAUCGCUAGUAAUCGUGAAAUCAGAAUGUCACGGUGAAUACGUUCCCGGGCCUU
RNAcentral lists this ribosomal RNA (405 nucleotides) under uncultured Pseudomonas sp. RNAcentral's name for it is "bacterial SSU rRNA". It matches the Rfam family "Bacterial small subunit ribosomal RNA", at positions 983 to 1382 of the family's 1533-position model. The record is from RNAcentral. Lineage: Bacteria; Pseudomonadati; Pseudomonadota; Gammaproteobacteria; Pseudomonadales; Pseudomonadaceae.